AAUUAUUACUUUGGCAGAUUAGUGUGGUAAAUUUAGAAUUUAUGAAUGUAAAUUAUUUUACAAGUAAUA
This 69-nucleotide transfer RNA is filed under the name Deronectes fairmairei. RNAcentral's name for it is "transfer RNA-Leu". The record is from RNAcentral. Lineage: Eukaryota; Metazoa; Arthropoda; Insecta; Coleoptera; Dytiscidae.